Molecule: ribosomal RNA, 440 nt
Filed under: uncultured bacterium
Lineage: Bacteria
Description: partial 16S ribosomal RNA
Rfam family: Bacterial small subunit ribosomal RNA
Source: RNAcentral
CCUACGGGAGGCAGCAGUGGGGAAUAUUGCACAAUGGGGGAAACCCUGAUGCAGCGACGCCGCGUGAGUGAAGAAGUAAUUCGUUAUGUAAAGCUCUAUCAGCAGGGAAGAAAAUGACGGUACCUGAGUAAGAAGCCCCGGCUAACUACGUGCCAGCAGCCGCGGUAAUACGGAGGGGGCAAGCGUUAUCCGGAUUUACUGGGUGGAAAGGGAGCGUAGACGGCAGUGCAAGUCUGGAGUGAAAGGCGGGGGCUCAACCCCCGGACUGCUCUGGAAACUGUACGGCUGGAGUGCAGGAGAGGUAAGUGGAAUUCCUGGUGUAGCGGUGAAAUGCGUAGAUAUUAGGAGGAACACCAGUGGCGAAGGCAGCUUACUGGACUGUAACUGACGUUGAGGCUCGAAAGCGUGGGGAUCAAACAGGAUUAGAUACCCCAGUAGUC